AUACGUAGGGAGCGAGCGUUACCCGGAAUUACUGGGCGUAAAGUGCGCGUAGGCGGCUUGGUAAGUCCCUUUUGAAAGCUCCCGGCUUAACUGGGAGAGGUGAGGGGAUACUACUUGGCUUGAGGACAGCAGAGGAAAGCGGAAUUCUCGGUGUAGCGGUGAAAUGCGUAGAUAUCGAGAGGAACACCAGUGGCGAAGGCGGCUUUCUGGGCUGCAACUGACGCUGAGGCGCGAGAGCGUGGGGAGCAAACAGGAUUAGAUACCCCGGUAGUCC
This 274-nucleotide ribosomal RNA is filed under the name uncultured bacterium. RNAcentral describes it as "partial 16S ribosomal RNA". It matches the Rfam family "Bacterial small subunit ribosomal RNA", at positions 523 to 796 of the family's 1533-position model. The record is from RNAcentral.